This is a long non-coding RNA of Alnus glutinosa, 765 nucleotides long. RefSeq lists it as uncharacterized. The record is from RefSeq and is a predicted model, not a curated record. NCBI's taxonomy places the organism in Eukaryota, Viridiplantae, Streptophyta, Magnoliopsida, Fagales, Betulaceae. The transcript has 5 exons.
GGCACACGUGCGCCUCCCUUCUCAAAUAAAUGGAAAGGCUAAAUGGCCUUUCCAAAGAAGAGGCCGUGUGCCUCUACUGUUAAAAGAAAAAGAAAAAAAUGGAAAAAAGGGUCAUCUGACCCGAGAGAAAAAGAAACAGAAGGAAAUGAUUUUUCUUUCAAGAUUUUCCAUACAAAAAUCAUCAUUUACGAAGAUCCAACCGUCGAAACUCAAAUCCGAUUUCAGAAACGUGAUCUACGAAGCCAGAUCUACGUUUCUACCGAUUGGUUUGAGGAUUUGUUUUGAGGAGCUUGCUAAACACUCUCCAAGUGUUGGAUUUACAUUUGGUGAAAUUUUUGUAAUACAUUGUAUGGUGGUGUCUAUGAGACCUAGUGCUUAAUAUCCGCGCAGCUAAGGAUCGUGUCCAGAUUGGAGACUUUAAUUGGCUCUCCAAUGUAGAGUUCGAGUAACUAGAAUCUAAGGGAAUAUUCGAGUCAUGAGUCAAAUGCAGCGAAGAUGUUCCUUUGGUUACAGGUACUCCGGUCGUAGCUGAUGGUGUUGUAGGUGUGCACCUCGGAUAUUAUGACCGAAGCUCGCCGCGACCGUCAUAAUUGCGGGACCAUGGGCAUCCUCUGUUUUAUGGGUUUUGUUUCUGGCUUGUGACGCCUGUGUCACUUGUUAUUGUAUAUAGUCAUUUAUGUUAUGUAUUUAAUAUGAAAAAAGACUUAAAUAGAUAGAUUUAAUAUUGGCUCUUGAUUAUGAUUAAUUUAUGAUAGAUGUUUAAGA